GACGAACGCUGGCGGCGUGCCUAAUACAUGCAAGUCGAGCGGACGGAUGGGAGCUUGCUCCCAGACCGUCAGCGGCGGACGGGUGAGUAACACGUGGGCAACCUGCCUGUAAGACUGGGAUAACUCCGGGAAACCGGGGCUAAUACCGGAUAACUCUUUCCCUCACAUGAGGGAAAGCUGAAAGAUGGCAUCUCGCUAUCACUUACAGAUGGGCCCGCGGCGCAUUAGCUAGUUGGUGAGGUAACGGCUCACCAAGGCGACGAUGCGUAGCCGACCUGAGAGGGUGAUCGGCCACACUGGGACUGAGACACGGCCCAGACUCCUACGGGAGGCAGCAGUAGGGAAUCUUCCGCAAUGGACGAAAGUCUGACGGAGCAACGCCGCGUGAGUGAUGAAGGUUUUCGGAUCGUAAAACUCUGUUGUCAGGGAAGAACAAGUACCGGAGUAACGGCCGGUACCUUGACGGUACCUGACCAGAAAGCCACGGCUAACUACGU
This 497-nucleotide ribosomal RNA is filed under the name uncultured bacterium. Its description in RNAcentral is "partial 16S ribosomal RNA". It matches the Rfam family "Bacterial small subunit ribosomal RNA", at positions 28 to 506 of the family's 1533-position model. The record is from RNAcentral.